This is a long non-coding RNA of Melanaphis sacchari, 545 nucleotides long. RefSeq lists it as uncharacterized. The transcript has 3 exons. The record is from RefSeq and is a predicted model, not a curated record. NCBI's taxonomy places the organism in Eukaryota, Metazoa, Arthropoda, Insecta, Hemiptera, Aphididae.
CCGAUAUAUCCUAUGCAUUAGUUUAACAAUGAAGUGCAUAUAUAGUGCGUAAUACAUUUUUUUCCUGUUUUUGUAUAGGUUUUGAUUGUUUUAUUUAAAAACUGUUCUUAAAUCACUUCGAUACGGCGAGAGAGGAUUGCAUUAAAACAACGGAAUUAUAUAUAGCUUGUCAAACCUAUCGUUAAAUACUGUUGGAUAUUAUUUAGAAUUCACAGACUACGAACGCUUGCAAAGAACUAUAGUCUCUAGACGUCACUAGCACAAGUUUUUAAGUUCCACAAAGGUUUCUGCAUACCACAUAAAUAGUCGGAUCACUCGGAUAACACUCGGAGUAGUCUGUUCAGUGUUCACUGUUGACUGUUAUCAAUAUUAACGGAAGCAGCAAAAGCCGGUGAUAAAAAUCACUACUAGCUAAGAUUUCUAUCCAUGCUAAAUCUUGGAGUAAUAGUACGUACACGAACCAUAACGAAAAUGCAUCACAAUUCACAAUGCUAUAUUACUCAUAUAUUUAAAUAUUUUAAUAUUUAACCGUAGGUAGCUUAAUU